MicroRNA precursor from Cyprinus carpio (common carp), 55 nucleotides. NCBI's taxonomy places the organism in Eukaryota, Metazoa, Chordata, Actinopteri, Cypriniformes, Cyprinidae. The record is from Ensembl.
GAGACUGUCGUUUGGGGUGAGGUAGUAGGUUGUAUAGUUUGAGGGUUUAACCCUU